Non-coding RNA from Vicugna pacos (alpaca), 560 nucleotides. The record is from RefSeq and is a predicted model, not a curated record. Lineage: Eukaryota; Metazoa; Chordata; Mammalia; Artiodactyla; Camelidae.
UUGAGAGUCAUGGCGACUUAACUAGCAAGCAGACACUGAAGUCCACGCACACAGAUCAGAAGUAACACUUGGUAUAAUUCUGCUUGUGCAUAUCCACAAUGAGGCCAGUAGAGGAAGUUCAGAAAUUCUAAAAAUUGUAGUGGCUUACAACAGCAAAUGUUUAUUUGUUUUUCUCACAGAGCUGAAAGCAGCCCAGGAAAGCUCUGCUUCAGGAUACAGGGCGGGUACAGGUCAGUUCCCAGCAUCUCGCCUUCCCCUGGGACCAAUCACCACCUGGAAUGUGUUCUGCUCGGAAACAAUGACAGAAGUGUAAGCGACAGGAGAAGAACCACACAAUGUCUUUUAAGGCCUCUUCUCAGAACUGGACAUUAUCACAAACCAAGGAAUGGGGAAGGUUACCACACCCUCUGGUGAGACGUUCUGCGAGUCACACAACAAAGGCCGGAUGAAGGAGUGAAGGGAGGGUGUGAAGAAAUGGGAAUAUUCAUCUAAUCUCCCACACUAUUUCAUAUUCUAUGUUGUAAAGCAAGUUUGUAUUCCUAAUGCAUAUCAGGGCCAAA